Molecule: ribosomal RNA, 475 nt
Filed under: uncultured Alphaproteobacteria bacterium
Lineage: Bacteria; Pseudomonadati; Pseudomonadota; Alphaproteobacteria
Description: bacterial SSU rRNA
Rfam family: Bacterial small subunit ribosomal RNA
Source: RNAcentral
UGUAAAUUCUUCCCCAGUAAAAAUAAUGACGGUCACUGUAAAAGAAGCUCCGGCUAAUUCCGUGCCCCACCCGCGGUAAUACGGAGGGAGCUAGCGUUGUUCGGAAUUAUUGGGCGUAAAGCGCGCGUAGGCGGAUUAUUAAUUUAGAGGUGAAAUCCCGGGGCUCACCCCCGGAACUGCCUUUGAUACUGGUAGUCUAGAGGUCGAGAGAGGUGAUUGGAAUUCCGAGUGUAGAGGUGAAAUUCUUAAAUAUUCGGAGGAACACCAGUGGCGAAGGCGGCUCACUGGCUCUAUACUGCCCCUGAGGUGCGAAAGUGUGGGUAGAAAACAGGAUUAAAUAUGCUGGUAGUCCCCCCCGAAAACGAUGAAUGUUAGUCGUUGGGGGAUUCCUCCUUGGGUGACCCAACUAACGCAUUAUCCUUUCUGCCUGGGGAGUACGGCCGAAAGAAUUAAACUCUAGGUUUGGGCGGGGGCU